AAAUCGCUUAUCAGCUCUGCUGUCGUUAUUCCAAACUUUCAUUCUUUAAUUUUGCAUGCAAAUCAGAAACCAAAAGCCUAGUGCAAGUCCUGAAGGUUCUCUCUGACUACAGAUCAUACUUGGAACAUAGCAGUACAUAUUACUAAAGAAGAAGAAAAGGAAAGAAAAGAAUAUUAUGAAAGCAACUACUCUGAAUUGAUCAGAACUUAACCAUGAAAGCAAAUGAAAGAGGGG
RNAcentral lists this long non-coding RNA (234 nucleotides) under Zonotrichia albicollis (white-throated sparrow). RNAcentral's name for it is "lncRNA (ENSZALG00000002838.1)". The record is from RNAcentral. Lineage: Eukaryota; Metazoa; Chordata; Aves; Passeriformes; Passerellidae.